This is a non-coding RNA of Notechis scutatus (mainland tiger snake), 873 nucleotides long. NCBI's taxonomy places the organism in Eukaryota, Metazoa, Chordata, Lepidosauria, Squamata, Elapidae. The record is from RefSeq and is a predicted model, not a curated record.
AUCCACAUCAAUAAAUGACCAGAAACUUGUUUGAACUGGAAAAAUAACUUUCUGAUCAAUAGUUUCUCCAUAUUUCUUUCCUGGAAUGAAUUUAGUAAUUGUUCUGCUCUCUAGUACUAAUCAAAACAGCAAGAAGAAAAAUGCUGCUUAAAAUAUGGUGGUUUAUAUAACUUACUUUACCCUAUGUGUUAAAUCAUUGCUUUUAAAGGUACUUGGAUAUGAAUUUCAUAUUUCCCAAUUUUAGAAAGGUUCUUUCUAUAAUGCUCCUCUCAAAAGUAUCACCCAAAAGGGUUACAUGGAUUGGAUCCAGACUUGAUGAAUAGAAAAAUUCAUUCUAUUUACUAAACGAACCAGCAUUGAAUGGAGGGCUUCUGUUAAAGAAAUUAGGUAUUUCCCAUUCUGUUUCUGAUAAUUCAACAGAUAUUCAUGGAAUUAUUUUGGUAGCGAAAAUAGCAAUCUCUACAAAUGAAAAUCAUCAUAGCCCAGGUCUGCUGGGACUGCCAGAAUCUAGAGAAAACAAGAUUAGUUUAGGCUCCAUUUUGAACUAUUAUAUGUGUAGUUUUAUAUUUAUAUUUAUGUACCAGGCAAUGGAGCAUGACAUUUUUCUCUUACACCAAUGUAUUUCAUUUUCCAAUAAUCUCAAAUUAGGAUAUAGCACAAUACAAAAAUCACAAUAUGCCUGUACCCGUCAUACAAGAAAAUUUAAAAUAAAAACAAAUAAUGUGAAAGAACUCUGCCUCAUAACCUGGUGAUUUUGUCAACCAGACAUGCAGUAGCAGUUUUAAGUGCUAUCAUAAUCCAACAUGAAAACCCAGACAUGUUCUCAAGUCUGAAAUCUCACCAAAAUUAGAUUGUGAAAUUUUUGUGACCUGA